GACAACAAGAGGAGAAGGCAAUGGGACAACACAGGUGGAGACAGGAGUGAUGUACCCACAAGCCGAGGCUUGCCAGCAGCCCGUGGAAGCUGGAAGAGGCCCAGGACGAAGCGAGGCCUUGAUUUCAGCUUCAUGAACUGACCUCUGACUCCCGGCCUCCAGAACUGUGAGAGAGGACAUCCCUGUUGCUUUAAGCCACCGAUUCUGGGGUGAAUUGUUACAGUGGCCGCAGGAAACUGACUCAUGUGAUGGAAAGUGCUCGCGUGGUGGCAUCGCACGUAGCCUCCUACUGUAUCCAAACGGCGGGUGUCUGGACUCGGAAGGUAGAGAUUUUCCAGUGCAAAAGGAAAAUUGGAAGGAGUUACUCAAAACCUGAUGGAACUGCCCAUUAACGCCCCCAAACGAAAGUUAAUAUUGUUCCAGCCAUGGGCAAGAAUGUCAAGAAUGCUUUGUAAAGUUUUAUCUCUUUGCAACUCUCCAUUUUAAUUAUUGUCAGGAGGUGACCUACAUACUCUCCAGGGAACUUUCAUCCCCCAUGUGGGUUCUGCUCUCCGUGCCUGGAAGUCCAUUCUCUCCCCCUUUGCUGCCUGCUUCAUUCCUGGGGAUCCUCAAAGUCUCAGGCCGUCUGAGCCUUGCUUGGAAGCCUGCCCAGGCCCAAUGAGGUGCCCUUUCUGAGGCCCACCCAGCUCCCCGUGCGCAUCCCUGUGGCGGCCCUGGGCAGUGGGCCAAGCACGGGCUCUGGAGUCGGGCUUCAAUCCCAG
RNAcentral lists this long non-coding RNA (761 nucleotides) under Equus caballus (horse). Its description in RNAcentral is "lncRNA (ENSECAG00000059755.1)". Lineage: Eukaryota; Metazoa; Chordata; Mammalia; Perissodactyla; Equidae. The record is from RNAcentral.